GUCACUUCUCGGCCUUUUGGCUAAGAUCAAAUGUAGUAUCUGUUCUUAUCACUUUAAUAUCUGAUAUGUCCUCUAUUUGAGGACAAUAUAUUAAAUGAAUUUUUGGGACUGGGAGAUGGAAUAGGAGCUUGCUCUGCCCACUCCACACAUUGACCUGGUAUUCAGGAAUGGUGCACCCCCU
This 181-nucleotide small nuclear RNA is filed under the name Castor canadensis (American beaver). Its description in RNAcentral is "U2 spliceosomal RNA (ENSCCNG00000002860.1)". It matches the Rfam family "U2 spliceosomal RNA". Rfam says of the family: U2 is a small nuclear RNA (snRNA) component of the spliceosome (involved in pre-mRNA splicing). Complementary binding between U2 snRNA (in an area lying towards the 5' end but 3' to hairpin I) and the branchpoint sequence (BPS) of the intron results the bulging out of an unpaired adenosine, on the BPS, which initiates a nucleophilic attack at the intronic 5' splice site, thus starting the first of two transesterification reactions that mediate splicing. The record is from Rfam by way of RNAcentral. Lineage: Eukaryota; Metazoa; Chordata; Mammalia; Rodentia; Castoridae.